This is a long non-coding RNA of Vigna unguiculata (cowpea), 1239 nucleotides long. The record is from RefSeq and is a predicted model, not a curated record. Lineage: Eukaryota; Viridiplantae; Streptophyta; Magnoliopsida; Fabales; Fabaceae.
GAUUGAGUGCGCAAUGGCGAGUUGACCGGCUUCUCGUUGGAGUAAGAAGACGAAGGGUUGAACACUUCGAGCGAGCCACGUUGGUCUCUCGGAAAUGCUUCCAUUCUUCUCACUCUCUGCUCCAUUCAUGCACACGUCACACAAUUAAUCUCUCAAAAAGGUCAGAAAUCUUCUGAAUUUGGCGGUGGUAGGAGGUGGGGGCUUGUGUUGCUGCUUAUUGUUAAAGAAACUUGCAUAGAAUUUAAACAGAGAGAAAACUGAUUUCUAGAAACGGCUUAUAGUGCAGAAGGAGGACAGGUGGAAGAAAAAGAUGAAGUUGAUCAUUGUUGGAAAGGUUUGGGUUCCCAUCCCUGUGUCUGGAUAUUUCACAUGGGACAUUCCUAAAAGUGUGCUAUAUGAUGGUGCAACCUUAUUCACUUUGGAGGGCUAAAACAUUUGAGAGAAACAAAAUUUUACAGAGUGGAGGAACCAAACAGUGAUAUAUCUUCUGAUGCUGCAUCUUCAUCUGGGUCUUACCUUGAAUGAUUUGUGGUGUCAGAACGCAAGUGCCAGUCUGGAAGUGGGGUGUGAAAAAAGAAAAGCAACAAGAGCAGAGAACGUGAACAUUAUCUGAGUCUCCACAACCAUGUUAAUCUCUGCAGGCUAGCUGUACCCUCCUUUUGUUCCAAGGACAACACUGUUUGGUUUUCUAUGUCUGAGGUUGUGGACUUAUAGCCCAGGACAAAUGCAAAAUCAGACAACCAAAAAUGGCAAAUAUCCUCACUUUUUUGCGUCUUGAAAAACAUAUAGAAUAUUAAUAUACCCACUAUCCUGCACAAGGGUAAUUCUUGCAGUAUUGCAUAUCUAAGAAAAAAAGAGGAGCUUGUUGAAAGGGCAUGGUGGUCACAAGGAUAAGCUUGUGAAAUGGACACAUGAGACCAUGUUGGUAGACGCUGGAUGAUUCAUGACCACAAAUAAUCCUCAAGAUUGAGUUUAAGUGUAUAUUUUUCCCUUUUAGUGGGUAUCAAAUGGUGAUUGAUGUUUACCUUUUUUAUGUAGUUGCCUGCUGAAUGGUAAAAUGAUUGAAAGUGAAGGAGUUCUUUCAUCAACUUCGUGAUGUGAAGGAUCAAGAAUACCUAGGAUAAGUCAUCGAUCUGCUAUGGCUUAAACACCAACCAUUCACCAACUACUCCCAAUAUUGCAAGAACAAAAUUUGUAAACAAAGAAAAAACAUGAAUAUAUAUUAUUGAGUUUAAUUAA